This 787-nucleotide long non-coding RNA is filed under the name Eucalyptus grandis. Its description in RNAcentral is "long non-coding RNA (EGRA_LNC007479)". Lineage: Eukaryota; Viridiplantae; Streptophyta; Magnoliopsida; Myrtales; Myrtaceae. The record is from RNAcentral.
GAUCUCGAGCGAGCUCCGAAAACAGCAGCAUCAACCCCACGGACGGCGCGAUUUACGUACCACCAUCCAUGAAAACCACGCCGAGCAGCUCCGGGCACCGAGUUGCAGAGAAAACCAAAAAAUAAAAUAAAAUAAAAUAAAAAUGCGGAAGCAAUGUUAUUACCUUAAAUAAUAGGGGAACUCAUCGAACGUAACGGUGCUUUCCCUGCCGUCGACGAUCUGCCUCAUCAACUCCUGCUCGAUCUUCUCCGCCGUCACCUCGCCGGCCGGGCAGUUCCCCCCGCCGACCCACCGGCUAACCGUCUGUCCGGAGGCCAGCCCGAGGCCGACGCCGACGCCGAGCCCCACGCUGAGAGCCGACAGCAACACGUUCUUCUGUUCCAUGCCGCCGCCCGAUCAGGAGAAGAAAAAACCGACAGACCACACGCCCUCUCCAAAAGCCUUUCCUGGCCUUCAAAAGAAAAGACACAGCAACAACAAGACAAUCUCGGAACGGGAAAACGAAGGACGAGAGGCGGGACAAGUAUAUGCACGGAGCGAUUCAAGGAAUCCGAAAGAGAGAGGGAGGGAGGGAGGGAGGGAAGGAGUGAUUGGUUGCUGCGGAAUGCAAUGAAUGUUUUUCUGCGUUUUCCUGUUAUUUUCAGACAAGGAAGAGGAGAGAGAGAGAGAGAUGGGGGUGGGGUUGUGCUGUUGGGUAUAUAUGUCCGAAGAAAACGUACAGAGCAUGAAGACGGGUUUGGUUGGCAGGUAAAAAUGGAGGACUUCGGUGGGGAAGGGGGAGCAAGAC